RNAcentral lists this ribosomal RNA (468 nucleotides) under uncultured bacterium. RNAcentral describes it as "partial 16S ribosomal RNA". It matches the Rfam family "Bacterial small subunit ribosomal RNA", at positions 28 to 507 of the family's 1533-position model. The record is from RNAcentral.
GACGAACGCUGGCGGCGUGCUUAACACAUGCAAGUCGAACGGAAAGGCCCUGCUUUUGUGGGGUGCUCGAGUGGCGAACGGGUGAGUAACACGUGAGUAACCUGCCCUUGACUUUGGGAUAACUUCAGGAAACUGGGGCUAAUACCGGAUAGGAGCUCCUGCUGCAUGGUGGGGGUUGGAAAGUUUCGGCGGUUGGGGAUGGACUCGCGGCUUAUCAGCUUGUUGGUGGGGUAGUGGCUUACCAAGGCUUUGACGGGUAGCCGGCCUGAGAGGGUGACCGGCCACAUUGGGACUGAGAUACGGCCCAGACUCCUACGGGAGGCAGCAGUGGGGAAUAUUGCACAAUGGGCGGAAGCCUGAUGCAGCAGCGCCGCGUGCGGGAUGACGGCCUUCGGGUUGAAAACCGCUUUCGCCUGUGACGAAGCGUGAGUGACGGUAAUGGGUAAAGAAGCACCGGCUAACUACGUG